CGCGGGAGCCGGCGUGGCGGCGGCGGCGGGCGCCUUCCGCCUCGCGUCUCCGCAAGGGCAGGGCGACAGAGGGAGAGGGCAAGUUAGAGAAAGAGAGAGAGGAGGAUCUUUCAUCCACUGGCUCACUCCCCAAAUGUCUGCAACAGCCAGGGCUGGGCCUGCCCUACCCCAGCAGCCAGAAACUCCGUCCUGGUCUCCCACAUGGGUGGCAGGAGCCCAAGCACCUGAACCAACAUCCGGUGCCUCCUGGUGCAUGCGUUAGCCGAAGCUGGACGGGAAGUGGGGCUGCCAGGACGACAGCCAGCACUCAGAUGUGGGCUGCUGGUGUCACAAGUGGCAGCUGAACCGCUGCGCCACAGUGCUGGCCCUGAUAAACGUGUUUUGAAAGAUCGCCCUGCUCUAUAAAGAAUGGCAUAUAGGCAAGCAGAAGCCAAAGUGUCUACAACCAUCUUGACCAUUGGGAUAAUCCAGAUGAAAGACUGUUGCUCGAAUACAGGAGGUGGCAGUGUGGAGAGAGGAAAAAAAUGGAUUUAAGAUAAGUUUUGGAUGACGUUGACAGGACUUCCCGAAGGACUGGAUGUCGUAGGUAACCAAGAAUUUCAUCAGGGAGAACUGCCACGUGUUUGGCUUAAGCCACUGGGUGAGUGAUGAUGCUGUUCAGUGAAUGAAAUACUUGCGGGGAGAGAGUGUGCGCUCCUGAGUUCUCUUCUGUGGAGGCCGCCUGGGAGCUUGGAUGAGAUACACCAGAGGGUCAGUCAAGUAAGUAAGUGAUGGAGACCUGCUUGUCCACCAGAAUAAAAUGAUUGCUGUCUCUGUUGGCCGUCCACCUGCACUCCAUUCCCCAGCCCCUAAGUAGCUGUGGCCACGUACCUGUGCUCUCCCCAGUGGACGGUGAGCAGGACAGCCGUGCUCAGUUUCCAGACGUGGCCCGGAAAGCCCUCCUGCAGGUGCUGCACUGUGCUCUUACUGGACACGGACCAUGAGAAGAGUCUGGACAAGACACAGGCUCGGAGUAGAAGAUUCCUGGGUAGAGAACUCUGCCUCUCUUCACAGAUGUCUACAUGUGAAUGUGAUGUGAGAAAAAUAAACUUCUUUUCUGUGGA
Long non-coding RNA from Lepus europaeus (European hare), 1103 nucleotides. RefSeq lists it as uncharacterized. The record is from RefSeq and is a predicted model, not a curated record. NCBI's taxonomy places the organism in Eukaryota, Metazoa, Chordata, Mammalia, Lagomorpha, Leporidae. The transcript has 2 exons.